UAUCCGUAGGUGAACCUGCGGAAGGAUCAUUAUUGAAUAAACCUGAUGUGGUUGUAGCUGGCCCUUUCGGGAGCAUGUGCACACCCGUCGUCUUUAUCUUUCCACCUGUGCACCUUUUGUAGACCUGGAUGUAACACUUUCCGAGGCAACUCGGUCGGGAGGAAUGCUGUCAGCUUUCCUUGAAUGUCCAGGCCUAUGUUUUCAUAUACCCCAAAGAAUGUAACAGAAUGUAUUAUUGGGCCUUGUGCCUAUAAACUAUAUACAACUUUCAGCAACGGAUCUCUUGGCUCUC
This 292-nucleotide unclassified non-coding RNA is filed under the name plant metagenome. RNAcentral describes it as "partial contains small subunit ribosomal RNA, internal transcribed spacer 1, and 5.8S ribosomal RNA". The record is from RNAcentral.